Molecule: ribosomal RNA, 1312 nt
Filed under: Celoporthe eucalypti
Lineage: Eukaryota; Fungi; Ascomycota; Sordariomycetes; Diaporthales; Cryphonectriaceae
Also listed under: 3 other names
Description: eukaryotic LSU rRNA
Rfam family: Eukaryotic large subunit ribosomal RNA
Source: RNAcentral
AACAGGGAUUGCCCUAGUAACGGCGAGUGAAGCGGCAACAGCUCAAAUUUGAAAUCUGGCCUCGGCCCGAGUUGUAAUUUGCAGAGGAUGUUUCUGGCGCGGUGCCUUCCGAGUUCCCUGGAACGGGACGCCACAGAGGGUGAGAGCCCCGUAUGGUUGGACACCAAGCCUGUGUGAAACUCCUUCGACGAGUCGAGUAGUUUGGGAAUGCUGCUCAAAAUGGGAGGUAAAUCUCUUCUAAAGCUAAAUACCGGCCAGAGACCGAUAGCGCACAAGUAGAGUGAUCGAAAGAUGAAAAGCACCUUGAAAAGGGGGUUAAACAGUACGUGAAAUUGUUGAAAGGGAAGCGCUUGUGACCAGACUUGCGCCGGGCGGUUCAUCCGGGGUUCUCCCCGGUGCACUCCGCCCGGCUCAGGCCAGCAUCGGUUCUCGUUGGGGGAUAAGAACGACAGGAACGUGGCCCUCCUUCGGGUGGGUGUUAUAGCCUGUCGUACGAUACCCUGACGGGGACCGAGGUUCGCGCUCCGCAAGGAUGCUGGCGUAAUGGUCAUCAGCGACCCGUCUUGAAACACGGACCAAGGAGUCGUCCAUUAGAGCGAGCGUUUGGGUGUCAAACCCGCACGCGUAAUGAAAGUGAAAUUAGGUGAGAGCUUCGGCGCAUCAUCGACCGAUCCUGAUGUUCUCGGAUGGAUUUGAGUAAGAGUUUUAACGGACGGACCCGAAAGACAGUGAACUAUGCUUGUAUAGGGUGAAGCCAGAGGAAACUCUGGUGGAGGCUCGCAGCGGUUCUGACGUGCAAAUCGAUCGUCAAAUAUGAGCAUGGGGGCGAAAGACUAAUCGAACUGUCUAGUAGCUGGUUACCGCCGAAGUUUCCCUCAGGAUAGCAGUGUUGACCUUCAGUUUUAUGAGGUAAAGCGAAUGAUUAGGGACUCGGGGGCGCUUUUUAGCCUUCAUCCAUUCUCAAACUUUAAAUAUGUAAGAAGCCCUUGUUACUUAGUUGAACGUGGGCAUUCGAAUGUAUCAACACUAGUGGGCCAUUUUUGGUAAGCAGAACUGGCGAUGCGGGAUGAACCGAACGCGGGGUUAAGGCGCCAGAGUGUACGCUCAUCAGACACCACAAAAGGCGUUAGUACAUCUUGACAGCAGGACGGUGGCCAUGGAAGUCGGAAUCCGCUAAGGACUGUGUAACAACUCACCUGCCGAAUGUACUAGCCCUGAAAAUGGAUGGCGCUCAAGCGUACCGCCCAUACCCCGCCCUCAGGGUAGAAACGAUGCCCUGAGGAGUAGGCGGCCGUGGAGGUCAGUGACGAAG